This 778-nucleotide ribosomal RNA is filed under the name uncultured bacterium. RNAcentral's name for it is "bacterial SSU rRNA". It matches the Rfam family "Bacterial small subunit ribosomal RNA", at positions 66 to 882 of the family's 1533-position model. The record is from RNAcentral.
ACUGAAUUCUCUUCGGAGAUAGUAAGGUGGCGGACGGGUGAGUAACACGUAAAGACUUGCCCUGCAGUCUGGGACAACUAUUGGAAACGAUAGCUAAUACCGGAUAUUGCCGCAUGGCGAAAGCUAUAUGCGCUGUAGGAGAGCUUUGCGUCCCAUUAGUUAGUUGGUGAGGUAACGGCUCACCAAGACCGCGAUGGGUAGCCGGCCUGAGAGGGUGAACGGCCACAAGGGGACUGAGACACGGCCCUUACUCCUACGGGAGGCAGCAGUGGGGAAUAUUGGACAAUGGACCAAAGUCUGAUCCAGCAAUUCUGUGUGCACGAUGACGGUCUUAGGAUUGUAAAGUGCUUUCAAUCGGGAAAAAGAAAGUGAUGGUACCGAUAGAAGAAGCGACGGCUAAAUACGUGCCAGCAGCCGCGGUAAUACGUAUGUCGCAAGCGUUAUCCGGAUUUAUUGGGCGUAAAGCGCGUCUAGGCGGUCUGGUAAGUCUGAUGUGGAAAUGCGGGGCUCAACUCCGUAUUGCGUUGGAAACUGCCAGACUAGAGUACUGGAGAGGUGGGCGGAACUACAAGUGUAGAGGUGAAAUUCGUAGAUAUUUGUAGGAAUGCCGAUAGAGAAGUCAGCUCACUGGACAGAUACUGACGCUGAAGCGCGAAGGCAUGGGGAGCAAACAGGAUUAGAUACCCUGGUAGUCCAUGCCGUAAACGAUGAUUACUAAGCGUCGGGGGUCGAACCUCGGCACUCAAGCUAACGCGAUAAGUAAUCCGCCUGGGGAGUA